AUUUAGUAGCGAAGUAGCUGAUUUCACACUGUCAAGAAAAGUCUCUAUCGAGGUUAAAGGUACCCGUACCGCAAACCGACACAGGUGGGUGAGGAGAGUAUCCUAAGGCCAGCGAGAGAACUGUUGUGAAGGAACUCGGCAAAAUGACCCCGUAACUUAGGGAUAAGGGGUGCCACCAUCAGGUGGCCGCAGAGAAUAGGCCCAAGCG
Molecule: ribosomal RNA, 208 nt
Filed under: Clostridioides difficile
Lineage: Bacteria; Bacillati; Bacillota; Clostridia; Peptostreptococcales; Peptostreptococcaceae
Description: partial 23S ribosomal RNA
Rfam family: Bacterial large subunit ribosomal RNA
Source: RNAcentral